AAUAAAUACACUCCUGAUGAUUUUAAUGAUAAUCUAUAUACAGUGCUAAGAUGGUCUGGCUGUCGCAAUGAGAAGAUUGUAUUCAUAAUGGAUAAGUCUAAUGUCCUCAAUUUAGGAUUCUUGGAAAGAAUGAACAGACUACUAGCCAAUGGAGAGGUUCCUGGAUUAUUUGAAGCCAAUAAAUUCACAACCCUCAUGACCCAGUGCAAGGAGGGGUCUCAAAAGGAAGGACUGAUGCUUGAUUCCUCAGAUGAGCUCUACAAAUGGUUCACUGAUCAGAUAAUGAGACACCUUCACGUGGUAUUCCAUAUAUAAACCCUUCCUCUGAGGGUCUUAAAGACAAAGCUGCUACCUCUCCUGCUUUAUUCAAUUGUUGUGUGUUGAACUGGUUCAGUGAUUGGUCCACUGAUGCUCUGUAUCAAGUUGGAUAUGAGUUUACUAAUAAAGUUGAUCUUGAUAAAUCAGACGUGUUGAUAAGUCCUCCUAUACUGAUACUUUGGUACCAAAUUUACUAGCCUAUUCCCAGCCUCACAUUUGGUCUCACAAU
Amphimedon queenslandica is the source of this 547-nucleotide long non-coding RNA. RefSeq lists it as uncharacterized. The record is from RefSeq and is a predicted model, not a curated record. Lineage: Eukaryota; Metazoa; Porifera; Demospongiae; Haplosclerida; Niphatidae. The transcript has 3 exons.